AUCCAGCCGACGAGUCCCAAAUAGAACGAAACGUGUGUCCUGGAU
Molecule: non-coding RNA, 45 nt
Organism: Schistosoma rodhaini
Lineage: Eukaryota; Metazoa; Platyhelminthes; Trematoda; Strigeidida; Schistosomatidae
Source: Rfam